AUGAUGCAACCACUAUAAACAAUAAUAUGAAUCACAUCUAUACUGGAAUUUUAAUUGAAUUUGUGUAUAAAAGACACCAAGUACUUGUAAAACAUGUUUGUGGUUUACUGAUGCCGGAUGAAGCGGUCUAACACUUAUUGGUGAUAAGUUGUCGAUCUAAAUCUUUUCUGCAUCGGUGUGAUCUAAUGGUAGCUUUAUAAUCCAGAGAAAAUGGCCGAAAACAUCCGAAACUCACUGAAUGACAUGAACGAAAGUCACCGUCCUGUCUCUAACAAAAUGUCUUCCAGCAGUUUAAACAUAAUCAACGAAACGUGCCACCAAAAGAAACUCGAGAUCAAAAACUUAAGUAAAAGCAGCUUAAAUUCGUCUCAAGAGCUUAAACAGAAAAACAAUGUGCCUUCUUCCUCUCAGAACUUUGUACCCAGCGAUAACAUUCUUCCACCAGAUCCGAUUGUAACAGCAUAUCGGAAAAAUCUGGAUUUAAUGAAGAAAGGAGGAUUUUAUAUGUUUAUUGUGAUUAUGUGUGUCUGCAUCUCAUUUAGUAUAUGUUAUGUCAUGAAUAUGUCAAGAAAUGAAACAUCCGAAUCUCAUUCUGAACUUUGCGUUUUCAAAUUGGAUCAAACAAAACUAAAAUCAUUGGUUAAUUCUUCAAAAGAAAUUCCAUUUGUUGAUGCGAAAUGUGAUUUUCUAUCUUUCAAUACACGAGGACAGAAGUUCGAAGUUCAAAUGUCCGGUAGCUUUGAACUCUCAUUGUCAGUUGCUUUGCGAUUAAACAAUUCUGUUGGCCGGAAUGCUUUGAUGUGUAUAGACUAUAAACUUAGCAAUGACAGGAAAAGAGAAGUGUGUAGCAGGGCUCAAUUUCCUUCCUACGAUUCAAAUUCCGCCAUUAUUAAUUUGGGUUUACCAGACGGAGCAAAUCUGAGUGCACGUGAUGAAUUUCACGUGAAAAUAAGCAACAUGCUCAAUGUAUAUAUUCAAGAUUCCUUGACCAGGCUGGUUGUCAAAUAUUACAAGCCUUAAAUCCUAUCUACGCUAUAAGAUGGUCUAUGCGAUGCGAAGCGUAUUAACUAAAAUAAAAUUAAUCAUUUGUGUAAACCGAAAUAUUAAAUGGAUUCGUAUUUACAUAUAUGUAAUUGUGGAGAGAGAGAGAGAGAGAGAGAGAGAGAGAGAGAGAGAGAGAGAGAGAGAGAGAGAGAUGUACAUUUAAAAUAAAUACGUAAUACUAACUGA
Molecule: long non-coding RNA, 1230 nt
Organism: Mytilus californianus (California mussel)
Lineage: Eukaryota; Metazoa; Mollusca; Bivalvia; Mytilida; Mytilidae
Exons: 2
Source: RefSeq, a predicted model, not a curated record